Molecule: ribosomal RNA, 468 nt
Filed under: uncultured bacterium
Lineage: Bacteria
Description: partial 16S ribosomal RNA
Rfam family: Bacterial small subunit ribosomal RNA
Source: RNAcentral
GACGAACGCUGGCGGCGUGCUUAACACAUGCAAGUCGAACGGAAAGGCCCUGCUUUUGUGGGGUGCUCGAGUGGCGAACGGGUGAGUAACACGUGUGUAACCUGCCCUUGACUUUGGGAUAACUUCAGGAAACUGGGGCUAAUACCGGAUAGGAGCUCCUGCUGCAUGGUGGGGGUUGGAAAGUUUCGGCGGUUGGGGAUGGACUCGCGGCUUAUCAGCUUGUUGGUGGGGUAGUGGCUUACCAAGGCUUUGACGGGUAGCCGGCCUGAGAGGGUGACCGACCACAUUGGGACUGAGAUACGGCCCAGACUCCUACGGGAGGCAGCAGUGGGGAAUAUUGCACAAUGGGCGGAAGCCUGAUGCAGCAACGCCGCGUGCGGGAUGACGGCCUUCGGGUUGUAAACCGCUUUCGCCUGUGACGAAGCGUGAGUGACGGUAAUGGGUAAAGAAGCACCGGCUAACUACGUG